UCCGGUGGUAUAUGAUGGACCCGCGUCUGAUUAGCCAGUUGGCAGGGUAACGGCCUACCAAAGCGACGAUCAGUAGCCGGCCUGAGAGGGUGAACGGCCACAUUGGGACUGAGACACGGCCCAAACUCCUACGGGAGGCAGCAGUGGGGAAUAUUGCACAAUGGGGGAAACCCUGAUGCAGCGACGCCGCGUGAGUGAAGAAGUAUUUCGGUAUGUAAAGCUCUAUCAGCAGGGAAGAAAAUGACGGUACCUGAGUAAGAAGCCCCGGCUAACUACGUGCCAGCAGCCGCGGUAAUACGUAGGGGGCAAGCGUUAUCCGGAUUUACUGGGUGUAAAGGGAGCGUAGACGGCGAGACAAGUCUGAAGUGAAAACCCGGGGCUCAACCCUGGGACUGCUUUGGAAACUGCCUGGCUGGAGUGCAGGAGAGGUAAGUGGAAUUCCUAGUGUAGCGGUGAAAUGCGUAGAUAUUAGGAGGAACACCAGUGGCGAAGGCGGCUUACUGGACUGUAACUGACGUUGAGGCUCGAAAGCGUGGGGAGCAAACAGGAUUAGAUACCCUGGUAGUCCACGCCGUAAACGAUGAUCACUAGGUGUUGGGGGCCUAUAGGCCUUCGGUGCCGUCGCAAACGCAAUAAGUGAUCCACCUGGGGAGUACGUUCGCAAGA
RNAcentral lists this ribosomal RNA (666 nucleotides) under uncultured Bacteroidota bacterium. RNAcentral's name for it is "bacterial SSU rRNA". It matches the Rfam family "Bacterial small subunit ribosomal RNA", at positions 211 to 893 of the family's 1533-position model. The record is from RNAcentral. Lineage: Bacteria; Pseudomonadati; Bacteroidota.